CAAUAGCGUAUAUUUAAGUUGUUGCAGUUAAAAAGCUCGUAGUUGGAUUUCGGAUGGGAUUUGCCGGUCCGUCGUUACAAUGUGCACUGGCCAGUCCUAUCUUGUUGUCGGGGACUAGCUCCUUGGAUUCACUUCCUGGGACUAGGAGCUGACGAGGUUACUUUGAGUAAAUUAGAGUGUUCAAAGCAAGCCUACGCUCUGAAUACAUUAGCAUGGAAUAACACGAUAGGACUCUGGCUUAUCUUGUUGGUCUGUGAGACCAGAGUAAUGAUUAAGAGGGACAGUCGGGGACAUUCGUAUUUCAUUGUCAGAGGUGAAAUUCUUGGAUUUAUGAAAGACGAACUUCUGCGAAAGCAUUUGUCAAGGAUGUUUUCAUUAA
Molecule: ribosomal RNA, 379 nt
Filed under: uncultured eukaryote
Lineage: Eukaryota
Description: partial 18S ribosomal RNA
Rfam family: Eukaryotic small subunit ribosomal RNA
Source: RNAcentral